UACGGGGGGGGCAAGCGUUACUCGGAAUUAUUGGGCGUAAAGGGCGCGUAGGCGGUCGUGUGCGUCGGAGGUGAAAUCCCCGGGCUUAACCCGGGAGCUGCCUCCGAUACGGCAUGGCUUGAGUCCGGGAGAGGGGAGCAGAAUGCCCAGUGUAGCGGUGAAAUGCGUAGAUAUUGGGAGGAAUACCGGUGGCGAAGGCGGCUCCCUGGACCGGUACUGACGCUGAGGCGCGAAAGCUAGGGGAGCAAACGGG
This 253-nucleotide ribosomal RNA is filed under the name uncultured bacterium. RNAcentral describes it as "partial 16S ribosomal RNA". It matches the Rfam family "Bacterial small subunit ribosomal RNA", at positions 524 to 776 of the family's 1533-position model. The record is from RNAcentral.